GGCCGGUUAGCUCAGUUGGUUAGAGCAUUGUGCUGAUAACGCGAAGCUCGCGGGUUUGAUACCCGUAUUAGCCA
Non-coding RNA from Salvelinus namaycush (lake trout), 74 nucleotides. NCBI's taxonomy places the organism in Eukaryota, Metazoa, Chordata, Actinopteri, Salmoniformes, Salmonidae. The record is from the annotation of a RefSeq genome assembly.